Molecule: transfer RNA, 79 nt
Organism: Pisolithus microcarpus 441
Lineage: Eukaryota; Fungi; Basidiomycota; Agaricomycetes; Boletales; Pisolithaceae
Rfam family: tRNA
About the family: Transfer RNA (tRNA) molecules are approximately 80 nucleotides in length. Their secondary structure includes four short double-helical elements and three loops (D, anti-codon, and T loops).
Source: Rfam
GGCCUUGUAGUCUAGAGGUACGAUACUUGCUUUGGGCGCUUAAAUGCAAGUGGCCUGGGUUCGAUUCCCAGCAAGGCCC